UUGAACGCUGGCGGCCGGCCUAACACAUGCCAGUCGCACGGUAACAGGAAGCAGCUUGCUGCUUCGCUGACGAGUGGCGGACGGGUGAGUAAUGUCUGGGAAACUGCCUGAUGGAGGGGGAUAACUACUGGAAACGGUAGCUAAUACCGCAUAACGUCGCAAGACCAAAGAGGGGGACCUUAGGGCCUCUUGCCAUCGGAUGUGCCCAGAUGGGAUUAGCUAGUAGGUGGGGUAACGGCUCACCUAGGCGACGAUCCCUAGCUGGUCUGAGAGGAUGACCAGCCACACUGGAACUGAGACACGGUCCAGACUCCUACGGGAGGCAGCAGUGGGGAAUAUUGCACAAUGGGCGCAAGCCUGAUGCAGCCAUGCCGCGUGUAUGAAGAAGGCCUUCGGGUUGUAAAGUACUUUCAGCGGGGAGGAAGGGAGUAAAGUUAAUACCUUUGCUCAUUGACGUUACCCGCAGAAGAAGCACCGGCUAACUCCGUG
This 489-nucleotide ribosomal RNA is filed under the name uncultured bacterium. Its description in RNAcentral is "partial 16S ribosomal RNA". It matches the Rfam family "Bacterial small subunit ribosomal RNA", at positions 30 to 507 of the family's 1533-position model. The record is from RNAcentral.